Long non-coding RNA from Amblyraja radiata (thorny skate), 236 nucleotides. RefSeq lists it as uncharacterized. The record is from RefSeq and is a predicted model, not a curated record. Lineage: Eukaryota; Metazoa; Chordata; Chondrichthyes; Rajiformes; Rajidae. The transcript is spliced from 2 exons.
UGCUGGCUCGAAGGGCCGAAUGGCCUACUCCUGCACCUAUUGUCUAUUGUCAUUGUCAUACAGUGUUCUGCUAAAGGAGUAACCACUCCGUGUGUGAUUAUAGAUUCUGUGUUUCUAAACAUGGGAGAUGAAAUGAAGAGUUUGUUUUGAGCAGCAAGACAACUAGGUUUAACUUUCCCACUGUGGGAUACUUUUUCCUCUUAAGAAGCACAAGAUAAAAUAAUUUGCGUCUAAAA